AAAGCUUAAAUUUAUACUUAAAUAGUUAGGAAAACUCUUUAAGCAUAAAGCUUAAAGCACCAUGCUUAUGAAAGUGCUAUCAACCACUAAACAAUGUAUAGUCUCUUUUGAACUCUUCAAUCAGAUCUUAGAACUCCUCUCAGCCUGUCAUGCACAAGAAGGGCUGGAUUGUCCCACAUGUACCAGAGCUGGUCAGUAACCCAUUGGUCAGAGCCACUCAGCAUUUCUUCAGGAUUUCCCCAGCAUUACUCUCUGUAUGAGGAAUUCCAGUCCUAAAUGAGGGAGCAACAGGUACCUGUGUGUCUGUCCUGAUGGUCAAGGAAUGAUUCAAACCCUUUGCUACCAGGAUCAAGCAAACAAGAAGCACGAAGUCAAGCAAGCUGCACCUCUGCUGUGCCUGGCUGCCAUCUCCUGCUCCCCUUCAACAGAUGGGAAACACCCUGAAGCAAAAUUAAGAAGAGCCCUGUUUAUUUUGGGACUGCAGAUUACUGUCAAACGUGAAAAGAGACAAUUAUUUCCAUUGUGGAAAAUGUGGCAUUAACGAAGGAGCAGUUCCCC
Long non-coding RNA from Pezoporus occidentalis (night parrot), 558 nucleotides. RefSeq lists it as uncharacterized. The transcript is spliced from 2 exons. NCBI's taxonomy places the organism in Eukaryota, Metazoa, Chordata, Aves, Psittaciformes, Psittacidae. The record is from RefSeq and is a predicted model, not a curated record.